GAUGAACGCUGGCGGCGUGCCUAAUACAUGCAAGUCGAGCGAACAGACGAGGAGCUUGCUCCUCUGACGUUAGCGGCGGACGGGUGAGUAACACGUGGAUAACCUACCUAUAAGACUGGGAUAACUUCGGGAAACCGGAGCUAAUACCGGAUAAUAUAUUGAACCGCAUGGUUCAAUAGUGAAAGACGGUUUUGCUGUCACUUAUAGAUGGAUCCGCGCCGCAUUAGCUAGUUGGUAAGGUAACGGCUUACCAAGGCAACGAUGCGUAGCCGACCUGAGAGGGUGAUUGGCCACACUGGAAUUGAGACACGGUCCAGACUCCUACGGGAGGCAACAGUAGGGAAUCUUCCGCAAUGGGCGAAAGCCUGACGGAGUAACGCCGCGUGAGUGAUGAAGGUCUUCGGAUCGUAAAACUCUGUUAUUAGGGAAGAACAAAUGUGUAAGUAACUAUGCACGUCUUGACGGUACCUAAUCAGAAAGCCACGGCUAACUACGUG
Molecule: ribosomal RNA, 497 nt
Filed under: uncultured bacterium
Lineage: Bacteria
Description: partial 16S ribosomal RNA
Rfam family: Bacterial small subunit ribosomal RNA
Source: RNAcentral